RNAcentral lists this transfer RNA (92 nucleotides) under Actinoplanes sp. L3-i22. RNAcentral's name for it is "tRNA-Ser". The record is from RNAcentral. Lineage: Bacteria; Bacillati; Actinomycetota; Actinomycetes; Micromonosporales; Micromonosporaceae.
UGGAAACGCCAGCCGAUGGGUGCCGGCCGCCGCUUCGAAAGCGGUUGGAGGCAGAGAUGCCUCGUGCGCGUUCGAAUCGCGCCGUUUCCGUC